This 1164-nucleotide long non-coding RNA is filed under the name Chrysolophus pictus (golden pheasant). Its description in RNAcentral is "lncRNA (ENSCPIG00010012577.1)". Lineage: Eukaryota; Metazoa; Chordata; Aves; Galliformes; Phasianidae. The record is from RNAcentral.
ACGGGGCCCAAACAGCCCCCAGAACGGAAAAGAACACAAACAAAAGUAACAAAAAUUAACGAAAAAGAAAGAAAAACUGGCCAAAUAAGCACAAAUUUGGGUCACGGGGCAAACGUGGGGGAGAAGGGUGGAAAACAGGGCUUUUUUUGGGGGGGGUUUGGGGCCUUUUUUGAUGUUUUUGGUCACUUUGGGGCCCUUUGGUUACUUUUUUUUUUGGGCCAUUUUGGCACUUUUCCAGCCUUUUUUGGCACUUUUUUUUCCAGCCAUUUUGUCACUUUUUGGCACUUUUUGGCACUUCCAACAUUUUCUCACUUUUUUUUUUUGACAUUUUUUUCACUCUUUUUUUUUUUUUUUUGGACUUUUUCGUCACUUUUUUUGGCCGUUUUGGUCACUUUUUGUCACUUUUUUUUUUGGCCUUUUUCUUACUUCUGGAUAUUUUGUUCCAUUUUUUUGGGGCACUUUCGUCACUUUUGGACACUUUGGGCCUUUUUGUCACUUUUUCCCCCCUUUUUCUCACUUUUUUCUGAACAUUUUUGUGUCUUCAUUGAACUUUUUGAUCACUUUUUCUUUUGCACAUUUUUGCCACUUUUUGACCCUUUCCCAAUUUCUCCUUUUUUACCCCUUUUUGGGACCUUUUUUUUUUUUCCUUUUUGCCACUUUUUCCCCUUUUUUGUCACUUUUUGGGCAUUUUUCUCACUUUUACAAGGACCUUUUUCAUCCCUUUUUCCGGACCUUUCUGUCCUUUUUUUUCGUUGUUAUUUUUGUCACUUUUUCAGACAUUUCCAUCACUUUUUCGGGACGCUUUUUUCACUUUUUUUUUCCCCUUUCAAACCACUUUUUCCUCUUUUUGGCCUUUUUUUUCCAUGCCACCUCACAGCAGUGUUUUGUCUUGCAGUCACACCUGGGGGCAGAACUUUGUGCUUUGCUUACUGUGACAAACACAUCAUUUCAGUGCUCAAUACUUGCAGUUUUUUGGGGCAAAAUUGGCUCUUUCAGCUAUUUUCCGUGCCAGCUCCUCACCUGAAGAGACCUUGGGGUUCAAUUUGGGGCGAAAAGGGGGGGAAAAAGGUCAACAUUUUGUUACUGCAUCACAUGGGGUCGUCCCCGAUCCCCCGCCCCCCCACCCAAAAGUGGGAUAAUUGCACGCAGCUCGUUAAGAAAUAA